ACGAACGCUGGCGGCAGGCCUAACACAUGCAAGUCGAACGGGAUCUUCGGAUCUAGUGGCGGACGGGUGAGUAACGCGUGGGAACGUGCCCUUUGGUUCGGAAUAGCCUCGGGAAACUGGGAGUAAUACCGGAUAAGCCCUUCGGGGGAAAGAUUUAUCGCCAAAGGAUCGGCCCGCGUUGGAUUAGGUAGUUGGUGGGGUAAUGGCCUACCAAGCCGACGAUCCAUAGCUGGUUUGAGAGGAUGAUCAGCCACACUGGGACUGAGACACGGCCCAGACUCCUACGGGAGGCAGCAGUGGGGAAUCUUAGACAAUGGGGGAAACCCUGAUCUAGCCAUGCCGCGUGAGCGAUGAAGGCCUUAGGGUUGUAAAGCUCUUUCAGUGGGGAAGAUAAUGACGGUACCCACAGAAGAAGCCCCGGCUAACUCCGU
This 431-nucleotide ribosomal RNA is filed under the name uncultured bacterium. Its description in RNAcentral is "bacterial SSU rRNA". It matches the Rfam family "Bacterial small subunit ribosomal RNA", at positions 29 to 506 of the family's 1533-position model. The record is from RNAcentral.